UACCUACAGUAUUGUCAUGGUGCUAC
This 26-nucleotide non-coding RNA is filed under the name Mus musculus (house mouse). Lineage: Eukaryota; Metazoa; Chordata; Mammalia; Rodentia; Muridae. The record is from RNAcentral.